This 657-nucleotide ribosomal RNA is filed under the name Triticum aestivum (bread wheat). RNAcentral's name for it is "partial small subunit ribosomal RNA". Lineage: Eukaryota; Viridiplantae; Streptophyta; Magnoliopsida; Poales; Poaceae. The record is from RNAcentral.
AUGUGCUCGCUGGGCCACGGAUCAGAUGGCCUCGGUCAUUCUGGAAAGCCUCGCCGCCGCAUCCGCUUCAGACCAGAGGAGAGAAAACAGAGGACACAAGAGCUGCGCCUACCCGGGCGUGCGACGCCGCCGAAGACCGAAGGGAUGGACACCGACGACAUGGAGUUCCUGCUGGAUGCGGUCCACAGGGGAAACCUAGCUGAGAACAACCGUUCUUGCAAAUGCGAGUGCCCGGCUCUGAUCAGGCUGUUGCGUGCGUCGGACAACAGCUGGUACAUCACGAAGCACCGUGAGAACCACAAUCACUCAAUGUCACUUACCAUGGGUGAGAAAGUAUACUGGCCCUCGCACAAACAUAUUGAUGUGUACACAAAGGAUUUGAUAAGGCAACUUAGGGAGAACAAUGUUAACCUUGGGAAAGUGUACAAUAUAAUUGGGAGCUUCUUUGGGUCAGUGGAGAAGGUACCGUUCACAAAAAGGACUCUCGGGAACAUAUGCGGCAAGAUUAGUCGUGAACAAGCAGACGAUGAUGUGCGGAAAACAUUGGAAGUAUUUGCGGAUAUCCGUUCCACCGACCUAGGUUUCACCUAUGUGGUACUGGCAGGCAAUUCCAGGAAGGUGAAGAACGACAUACGGAAGCAGUCGUAUGUAGUAUAA